This 450-nucleotide ribosomal RNA is filed under the name uncultured organism. Its description in RNAcentral is "partial 16S ribosomal RNA". It matches the Rfam family "Bacterial small subunit ribosomal RNA", at positions 330 to 797 of the family's 1533-position model. The record is from RNAcentral.
CGUACACUCCUACGGGAGGCAGCAGUGGGGAAUAUUGGACAAUGGGCGCAAGCCUGAUCCAGCCAUGCCGCGUGAGUGAUGAAGGCCCUAGGGUUGUAAAGCUCUUUCACCGGUGAAGAUAAUGACGGUAACCGGAGAAGAAGCCCCGGCUAACUUCGUGCCAGCAGCCGCGGUAAUAAGAAGGGGGCUAGCGUUGUUCGGAUUUACUGGGCGUAAAGCGCACGUAGGCGGACUAUUAAGUCAGGGGUGAAAUCCCGGGGCUCAACCCCGGAACUGCCUUUGAUACUGGUAGUCUUGAGUUCGAGAGAGGUGAGUGGAAUUCCGAGUGCAGAGGUGAAAUUCGUAGAUAUUCGGAGGAACACCAGUGGCGAAGGCGGCUCACUGGCUCGAUACUGACGCUGAGGUGCGAAAGCGUGGGGAGCAAACAGGAUUAGAUACCCUUGUAGUCCC